CCUUGUUCAGCUUGGUUGUGGUGUAAAAGGUUCUCAUCACAACCUGCUUGAAUGAGGAC
RNAcentral lists this microRNA precursor (59 nucleotides) under Nautilus pompilius. RNAcentral describes it as "Npo-Mir-67_pre stem-loop". Lineage: Eukaryota; Metazoa; Mollusca; Cephalopoda; Nautilida; Nautilidae. The record is from RNAcentral.